Molecule: non-coding RNA, 352 nt
Organism: Paramuricea clavata
Lineage: Eukaryota; Metazoa; Cnidaria; Anthozoa; Malacalcyonacea; Plexauridae
Source: the annotation of a GenBank genome assembly
CCACUUUUUAAGGCAAAGACAAACUUACCUCGCAAGCUUCCAAGCCUCCUUGCCUCAAUCAGUGAUAAAAACACGCCAAGGUUGCCGUUUUCGCCAGGAAAGCUACGCCGAAAAGUCUACAAGCACACGCAACGUUUUUUUCCAAGAUAUGUAUAAGUAUUUAAAUAUAAAUGGCCGAAGCUGCUACUGCUAGCCUAUUAAAUCAAACUAAGUGUCUUCUGCCUUACUUUCGUUGCGACGCAUAAGGACCAUAAAGACAUGCUGCAAAUAUAAUUUGUUAUUCCAUAUAAGGAAGUCUAUGUCUAUCGCAAAAAUAUGUUCUUCCGGUGGAUUCCAUAUAAGGAGGUUUGUU